GAUGAACGCUGGCGGCGUGCCUAAUACAUGCAAGUAGAACGCUGAAGCUUGGUGCUUGCACCGAGCGGAUGAGUUGCGAACGGGUGAGUAACGCGUAGGUAACCUGCCUCUUAGCGGGGGAUAACUAUUGGAAACGAUAGCUAAUACCGCAUAAAAGUCGAUAUCGCAUGAUAUUGAUUUGAAAGGUGCAAUUGCAUCACUAAGAGAUGGACCUGCGUUGUAUUAGCUAGUUGGUGAGGUAACGGCUCACCAAGGCGACGAUACAUAGCCGACCUGAGAGGGUGAUCGGCCACACUGGGACUGAGACACGGCCCAGACUCCUACGGGAGGCAGCAGUAGGGAAUCUUCGGCAACGGGGGCAACCCUGACCGAGCAACGCCGCGUGAGUGAAGAAGGUUUUCGGAUCGUAAAGCUCUGUUGUAAGAGAAGAACGAGUGUGAGAGUGGAAAGUUCACGCUGUGAC
Molecule: ribosomal RNA, 463 nt
Filed under: Streptococcus parasanguinis
Lineage: Bacteria; Bacillati; Bacillota; Bacilli; Lactobacillales; Streptococcaceae
Description: bacterial SSU rRNA
Rfam family: Bacterial small subunit ribosomal RNA
Source: RNAcentral